UGUGUGUGUGUGUGUGUGUGUGUGUGUGUGUGUGUGUGUGUGUGCGUGCGUGCGCACACGUGUGUGUGUGUGUGUGUGUGUGUGCGCGUGCGUGUGUGUGUGUCACACUCUGCAUAUUUAAAGUGUAAACUAACAUACAUAAAUAUAGAAACUAUUUAGAUAUGUUUAUAGACACACUGUGUGUGCAAAGUAUCUUUCUCUGUGUGUAUAGAUGUACACGAGUGUUUCAUGUGUGUGUGUAUACAAGGGCUGUCAAAAGAUUUCUUUUUUGUAAUCGUGAUUAAUCAUACUUUGAAUUUCAUUGUGAAAAUUGUGUUGUUUUGCAGUUUUCAGGACGUAACGUAAAGCAUUCAUCAGCCUGAACAAUCAGUUCAAAAGUUGAAUUUUAAGCCAUUUUUGAAGUUUUGAAGCACUGCGACUUCCUGCAGCGACUGAUUUCUUCUUACCAGAGCAUCUUGAUUGGGAGUCGAACUCAGAGAAAGAAUUUUCUUUUUUGGACCUUGUUGGAUUUUCUUUCAAAAUAAAAGUGUCAUGUAGACCAACUUAAUGCAAUGUCUGUUAAAAAUACAGUUUUCAAACUGGAAAAAAAAAACAAAAAACAAAGUCUAAUUAUGAGAUUAGUCACGAUUAAAAAAAUGAAUCUUUAGUCAUCCUUACAUUAAUUGUGAUUAAUGCGAUUAACUCUGACGGCUCUCGUGUAUACAAAUAUAUAAAUCACAUUGAUAUACCAGUAUAUCUGUAUAUUUGUUUAUCCAUUUAUAUACUGUAUGUGUAUGCAUAUUUUGUCUGUGCAUACACAUGAAUAUAUAUACACCAUAUAUAUGUGUUUAUGGACUGUGUGUGUGUGUGUGUGAGAGAGAGAAUCUGCCGUGUGCUUUGUAAAGCUGCUGUGGAGUUUCGUACCUGCUCGCCGCGGCGCGGCGGACCAGCCGGCGCGGCUCUGGCCUGUUGUUCGGCAUGCCCUCUUCUUCUUUCUGUACGUUCUCCCUUUUCCUUUCAUGUGCAAUGUUUUUCUGAGAUCUGGAUUAUAUACAGGACAUGCCUUUUUUUCAAUGUACACUCGAUGUUGUAUACGUUUUCCAGUCCACACGGUUUAUUUAACUGUAGGAAAUUUUAAGGAGAAAAAAAAAAGGAAAAAAAAAAAACCAACAACAAACUGGUAGCUCUUCAUAAUGGCAUAAAUAUAUU
Molecule: long non-coding RNA, 1188 nt
Organism: Salarias fasciatus (jewelled blenny)
Lineage: Eukaryota; Metazoa; Chordata; Actinopteri; Blenniiformes; Blenniidae
Exons: 2
Source: RefSeq, a predicted model, not a curated record